UACGUAGGGGGCAAGCGUUAUCCGGAUUUACUGGGUGUAAAGGGAGCGUAGACGGCGCUGCAAGUCCGGAGUGAAAGCCCAUGGCUUAACCAUGGUACUGCUCUGGAAACUGCGGGGCUGGAGUGCAGGAGGGGUAAGCGGAAUUCCUAGUGUAGCGGUGAAAUGCGUAGAUAUUAGGAGGAACACCGGUGGCGAAGGCGGCUUACUGGACUGUAACUGACGUUGAGGCUCGAAGGCGUGGGGAGCAAACAGG
This 253-nucleotide ribosomal RNA is filed under the name uncultured Lachnospiraceae bacterium. RNAcentral describes it as "partial 16S ribosomal RNA". It matches the Rfam family "Bacterial small subunit ribosomal RNA", at positions 524 to 776 of the family's 1533-position model. The record is from RNAcentral. Lineage: Bacteria; Bacillati; Bacillota; Clostridia; Lachnospirales; Lachnospiraceae.